UUUUAACUCCUUGCCCAGUUCCACCAGAGCAUGCCAUCUGGGACCCAUCAGAUCAGGGCCACUUUGCCUGAUCCAUCAGAAUACCACGGCAGCCCAUUUCUUUACAGACAAAACACGACACCUUUCUGAACUCAUGUAGAGGUAAUUCGUGUCUCCAGGCCCAGAAAGGCACCUGCAUUUGUAACGGGUGAAGUGGAACUAGCUCAUGUCUAAAUGGACUUUUCUCAAUUUCUUUGCAGAAAACCACGAAGAGGAGGCUGAAGAACAACUGGGAUCGCUGACCCCCAGGAAAUACCAUUUCCUAAUUCAUGAUCAUGCACGAAAGCUGACCCGGAUACGCCAGACGUCACGGGAAGGAAGAGAGCUCUCUGUCCUCCUCCAUCAGCACCUCAGGGACCUCCUCACCCACAGUGACAUUGGCAGAGACUGGGGACAGGGCUUCCAAGAACAACUGGCUGAGGGAUCCAGGCUGGCAGAGCGCCUUGUCCGCAAGCUUAGCCCAGAAAACCUGGAAGACGAUGAAGAGGAGGAAGAAGAAGAAUCGCUGAGCCCCAGGUAACAAUGAACGAGGAGGGCUAAUAAGCAAGGGUACAAUGUGGGGAGAGCACCUGAAAGAAAGACCCUGAGGGCCAAAUAGCCCCAGGGUUCACAGGCAAGGGGGAACCGGCACCGCCCCUGCUGCUGAUUCCGGUCACUCCAGCAACGAUGGCAAAGCCCUUUGAACGAGGUUGUCUCUUGUCUUUGUGGUACUCGUGGCCUCGGUCUGACAAGGGGAACUAAGAAGUCUCAGGGAUUUCCUGCCCUGAAAGAAAUCCCUUGUUCUCUCUUGGAAGGCUAAAUCAAGGAUGAGAUGCGUGUCUGCUUUCCCAACUGAUGGCCUUAGGUCCUUCAUAGGUAUAGCAUAGCCAGAAAGGAUCUAGACAAAAUUAAAAAAAAAAAAAACAUAACAGGUCACAGUAUUGACAGAAAAUGGCCUAGAAGGCACAAGAUCUCUGGGAGUCCACGAUGCCUCCGAGGCCUGCAUUCGCUGGGCUGCCAUAUGUAGAUUCAACACAAUGCAUUCACAAACUGGAAGCCAUUGUGUUGGGUCUCCGAGUGUGAUGCGUCUGCCUUACAGGGAGAGCGCAGCCCCGUCACCACCUCACUGCCGGUCCAGGGCACUGAGCACG
This 1169-nucleotide long non-coding RNA is filed under the name Equus asinus (donkey). RNAcentral's name for it is "lncRNA (ENSEASG00005034583.1)". Lineage: Eukaryota; Metazoa; Chordata; Mammalia; Perissodactyla; Equidae. The record is from RNAcentral.